Molecule: ribosomal RNA, 253 nt
Filed under: uncultured bacterium
Lineage: Bacteria
Description: partial 16S ribosomal RNA
Rfam family: Bacterial small subunit ribosomal RNA
Source: RNAcentral
UACGUAGGUGGCAAGCGUUGUCCGGAUUUACUGGGCGUAAAGAGCGCGCAGGCGGUCGUUCAAGUCGCGUGUGAAAGCCCCCGGCUCAACUGGGGAGGGUCACGCGAUACUGAUCGACUCGAAGGCAGGAGAGGGUAGUGGAAUUCCCGGUGUAGUGGUGAAAUGCGUAGAUAUCGGGAGGAACACCAGUGGCGAAGGCGGCCUUCUGGACAGUGACUGACGCUGAGACGCGAAAGCGUGGGGAGCAAACAGG